GAAUUUUGGACAAUGGGCGAAAGCCUGAUCCAGCAAUGCCGCGUCCAGGAUGAAGGCCUUCGGGUUGUAAACUGCUUUUGUACGGAACGAAAAGCUUUGGGCUAAUCCCCUGGAGUCAUGACGGUACCGUACGAAUAAGCACCGGCUCACUACGUCCCAGCAGCCUCGGUAAUACGUCGGGGGCAAGCUUUAAGCGGAUUUACUGGGCGUAAAGCGGGCGCAGGCGGUUUUGUAAGACAGAGGUGAAAGCCCCGGGCUCAACCUGGGAACUGCCUUUGUGACUGCAAGGCUAGAGUACGGCAGAGGGGGGUGGAAUUCCGCGUGUAGCAGUGAAAUGCGUAGAUAUGCGGAGGAACACCGAUGGCGAAGGCAACCCCCUGGGCCUGUACUGACGCUCAUGCACGAAAGCGUGGGGAGCAAACA
RNAcentral lists this ribosomal RNA (423 nucleotides) under uncultured bacterium. RNAcentral describes it as "partial 16S ribosomal RNA". It matches the Rfam family "Bacterial small subunit ribosomal RNA", at positions 359 to 774 of the family's 1533-position model. The record is from RNAcentral.